AAAGUCCUGCUAGGCUGUUACGCAACGUCAUCUGUAUUAGGGGGGUUGCAGUGUGAAGAGUUAUUCAAGUUGGACGACACACAUGUUUAGCUCCAGCUAUUUUGGCGGUCGCCAGAGAGGUGUCCAGUGUUCGAUCAAGGCAUCUUGGCCAGUCUUCGCACGACAGUACCAGUAUCAAUUCUGACUAUCUGACCAGCAUGGCAGCCAUGAUAUCGUCAGCCUGACCUGGUGUGUCGCUAUUGCAAGAGGAAGAAAAAGAGAAAGCUCAGUUAUUAUACACGUUACUAUAAGGUUAUAAAAACGA
Molecule: long non-coding RNA, 304 nt
Organism: Anopheles stephensi (Asian malaria mosquito)
Lineage: Eukaryota; Metazoa; Arthropoda; Insecta; Diptera; Culicidae
Exons: 2
Source: RefSeq, a predicted model, not a curated record